RNAcentral lists this ribosomal RNA (384 nucleotides) under uncultured bacterium. RNAcentral's name for it is "bacterial SSU rRNA". It matches the Rfam family "Bacterial small subunit ribosomal RNA", at positions 30 to 416 of the family's 1533-position model. The record is from RNAcentral.
AUUGAACGCUGGCGGCAUGCCUUACACAUGCAAGUCGAACGGCAGCACGGGAGCAAUCCUGGUGGCGAGUGGCGAACGGGUGAGUAAUACAUCGGAACGUGCCCAGUCGUGGGGAUAACGUAGCGAAAGCUACGCUAAUACCGCAUACGAUCUAUGGAUGAAAGCGGGGGAUCGCAAGACCUCGCGCGAUUGGAGCGGCCGAUAUCAGAUUAGGUAGUUGGUGAGGUAAAGGCUCACCAAGCCGACGAUCUGUAGCUGGUCUGAGAGGACGACCAGCCACACUGGGACUGAGACACGGCCCAGACUCCUACGGGAGGCAGCAGUGGGGAAUUUUGGACAAUGGCGCAAGCCUGAUCCAGCAAUGCCGCGUGCAGGAUGAAGGCC